GGAGUCUGGCUCUGUUGCCCAGGCUGGAGUGCAGUGGCCGGAUCUCAGCUCACUGCAAGCCCCGCCUCCCGGGUUCACGCCAUUCUCCUGCCUCAGCCUCCCGAGUAGCUGGGAGUACAGGCACCCGCCACCUCGCCCGGCUAAUUUUUUUUGUAUUUUAGUAGAGACAGGGUUUCACUGUGUUAGCCAGGAUGGUCUCGAUCUCCUGAACUCGUGAUCCGCCCGUCUCGGCCUCCCAAAGUGCUGGGAUUACAGGCUUGAGCCACCGCGCCCGGCCGGGAUUAGUGCCCUUAAACCAGAGGCCCCAGAGGCAUCCCUGGCCCCUUCCACUAUGAACCAGAAAGUGGGGCCUCACCAGUCUCCAAGUCUGCUGGGUGAUUUUAUCUUGGGCUUCUCAUCCUCCAGAGCUGUGGGCAAUAAAUUUCCAUCAUUUAUAAGCUACUUGGCCUAUAUAUUCUGUUAUAGCAGCCAGAUGGACUAAGAGUUGAGUUUAGAAAUCUAUAAACAUCUUCUUCUGGAGGCUGAAGUCCAGGUUGGGACGUCAACGUAUGAGACAGCGUGCAACUGCUGUGGCUGGACAGCCUGUGGUGCCAGAGAUUCUCAGCCCGGCAUUCUCAAACCACACGGCCGUGCAGAGCUGAGGAAGCCACGUGCAUACUCUAGCCUCAUGGAGGGAGCCGCCUACCAUAGCUGGUUUUGCAAAGGGACUUUCUCCAGCCUCACAGAGGGAGCCUUCUACUAGAGGUGGUUUUGCAGAGGGACUUUGGGUUUGCCUCCUUUUGCUGUGCUUGCACUUUUGUUUGUCCUCCUGGGUCUGUUACUCCAUCUCCUUCCAGGGUCCGGCUUUUUCUGAACCCCUGGGUGUGCAUGUGCAUGCUAGGACUCCAUAACCUUCUCCACUCGAAAAGGAGAAGAGAUUCAGAGCAUGCGGGUGGAACAGGGCUGCUGGCCAGGCGAGGUGUCCUCACGUGGGAUGGAGGAGAACCACAGCCGGGCAGUAUAGAGAGAUUUGGAGAAAUCCAACAGGUGUGGGCGUGAAGUUGAAAACCCUCCUCCGCACCACGCAACAGCCGAGUCAUGAUUGCUCAUGCCUGAUUCUGGGCAAGCGCAUUCUUGCUGGAAUUGUUGAGGGAGAGGCAGCUGAGUGGGGUGCAUUGGUGGGAUCAGCACCUGUGGCCUCAGAGGACUGUGUCACCUGGCCCUCUGUCACCCAGUGGCAUCCCAAGGAAACGGGCUGCUCAUGUUGAAUCUGGAAUAGCCCCUUGCACGUAGGUUGUAUCUCUAUAAUCAAACAGGAAACGGGGCUCCACUGGCUGCUUUUCUUACAGCACCAUAUAUGCCCUGCAGGCUUCAUGGGGAGCCAUCAUCUCUCAGGCAGGCAGCCCUCCUGGGGUUCACCAGAUGGUCAGAAGGAGGGGUGAGCCCGGGAUUCAGCAGCCAUUCGUGUGAGAUCACAGAUGCCGCUCAAGGAUCCUCCCAGGUCGGUUACUCCAUCUCCUUCCAGGAUCAGGGUGGUGGGGAAAGGCCUUCCCACCAGAAUACCUGUUGUGACAGCGCUUCGUGGCUUCCACAUUGCAAAAUACCUCCCAUUCUGA
RNAcentral lists this long non-coding RNA (1595 nucleotides) under Macaca mulatta (Rhesus monkey). RNAcentral describes it as "lncRNA (ENSMMUG00000056292.1)". Lineage: Eukaryota; Metazoa; Chordata; Mammalia; Primates; Cercopithecidae. The record is from RNAcentral.